This 548-nucleotide ribosomal RNA is filed under the name uncultured bacterium. RNAcentral's name for it is "bacterial SSU rRNA". It matches the Rfam family "Bacterial small subunit ribosomal RNA", at positions 777 to 1319 of the family's 1533-position model. The record is from RNAcentral.
AAUAGAUACCCGGGUAGUCCACGCCGUAAACGAUGAGUGCUAAGUGUUAGGGGGUUUCCGCCCCUUAGUGCUGCAGCUAACGCAUUAAGCACUCCGCCUGGGGAGUACGGUCGCAAGACUGAAACUCAAAGGAAUUGACGGGGGCCCGCACAAGCGGUGGAGCAUGUGGUUUAAUUCGAAGCAACGCGAAGAACCUUACCAGGUCUUGACAUCCCAUUGACCGCUAUGGAGACAUAGCUUUCCCUUCGGGGACAGUGGUGACAGGUGGUGCAUGGUUGUCGUCAGCUCGUGUCGUGAGAUGUUGGGUUAAGUCCCGCAACGAGCGCAACCCUUGUUCUUAGUUGCCAUCAUUUAGUUGGGCACUCUAAGGAGACUGCCGGUGACGAAACCGGAGGAAGGUGGGGAUGACGUCAAAUCAUCAUGCCCCUUAUGACCUGGGCUACACACGUGCUACAAUGGACGGUACAAACGGUUGCCAACCCGGCGAGGGGGAGCUAAUCCGGAUAAAACCGGUUCUCAGUUCGGAUUGUAGGCUGCAACUCGCCUAC